Pangasianodon hypophthalmus (striped catfish) is the source of this 907-nucleotide long non-coding RNA. RefSeq lists it as uncharacterized. Lineage: Eukaryota; Metazoa; Chordata; Actinopteri; Siluriformes; Pangasiidae. The record is from RefSeq and is a predicted model, not a curated record. The transcript is spliced from 3 exons.
GGAGCAGACAGAGCAGACACACUAAAUAACAAACUUAACAGCUUUGAAAGUAGACUUACAGCUAGAGCACGACAUAAUGCUUUGGUGCUGUGGAGAAGAUUUAGAAAGAGCAGCAGAGAGACUGAAAGAGCAGGAGAGAUGGUGAGACAGUGAGAGUGGGUCAAGCCAAGUCUUUGAUUCACACUUCUUAAAGGGGCUUGUGUGAACUCCUGGGGCCAACACUAUGCCGACAUUACAAACAUCACUUCAUCAUGGUCAUAAGCCUCUCGCAAAUGUGAAAUGUUUGGACGUGGGAUUCUUGAAAAAUCGCCCAAUGGAUGAGUUACCAAAGCAGAUAACAGAUUGGAGGUUUUGUUGCAUCUUAUGGGCCUGUACUUGAGUCUUAAAGCAUUAAAAUUAACACUGAUAGCAAGAUAAGAAAUGUGUCAGGGCAUUACUGUGCUGUGUGCUGUCUUGAAAUUUAGAUGUUUGCUUGUUUAGUUUUGCACUGGAGACACAAUCCCACACACACUCCUCCUCAUAGUUUAGCAUUGUCCAAACCGCUGCAUGAAUUGUCACAUGCUUACCUCAGACCAUCUCAGACAGACUUGCUGAUAUGGUUUCUGUCACUGUAUACCAUACUGCUAUGUUUAAAAAGAGACAAAAUGACAUUGCAGAGCUAAAAAGUCAUUAUCACAAUCAUUAUUAAAGCCCAAUCACUUUCAAUCACUUUCUUCUUGUACCUAAGAACUGCUGCUGUAAUCAUAAAUAUCUACUGAACUGAAUCCUUUCAGCACAUUUACUAUUGUUUACUUUAUAGUAUAUAAUUGGAGCAGAGUAAUGCCACCUAAAAGAGGAUGGGUUCCUUUCUGGGUCCUUUCUGUUGAGGUUUCCACCUCAUGUCAUCUCUGGGAGCUUUUCCUACCAC